UCUUCUCUCUCCUCCCCCGAUAUAUUUAUUAGGGAGGGGGGUGUUCCCCGGUGGGGGGGGAGCCCUUAUGGGGGGUAUAGGGGGGCGAGACACCGCCGGAAUAAAUCAAAAGAAGGUCCCGUCUCUUCCCGGGUUUACCGCCUCUCAUGUGCACCGAACGACCCCGCCAGAUGAACUUGGGCCCCGGCGGGAGGCCCCGGGCGCCAAACACCCAAGCCGAGGCUGAGAGUGAAAUGACGCUCGAACAGCAUGCCCGCGAAUACCGCGGCGCAAUGUGCUUCAAAGAUUGAUGAUUCACGAAUUCUGCAAUUCACAUUACUUAUCGCAUUUCGCUGCGUUCUUCAUCGAUGCCAGAACCAAGAGAUCCGUUGUCGAAAGUUUUGACUUAUUUGUCUUUCAGGCUCAGAGAUACUGGAAAAAAUAAGAGUUUUGAACCUCCGGCGGGCGUGCCCGCCGAAGCAACGACAGAGGUUAUGUUCACAGGGUUGGAGUUUUUCAACUCAGUAACGAUCCCGGUGCCUGCGGAGGGAUCAUUACUGAGUUGAAAAACUCCAACCCCUGUGAACAUAACCUCUGUCGUUGCUUCGGCGGGCACGCCCGCCGGAGGUUCAAAACUCUUAUUUUUUCCAGUAUCUCUGAGCCUGAAAGACAAAUAAUCAAAACUUUCAACAACGGAUCUCUUGGUUCUGGCAUCGAUGAAGAACGCAGCGAAAUGCGAUAAGUAAUGUGAAUUGCAGAAUUCAGUGAAUCAUCGAAUCUUUGAACGCACAUUGCGCCCGCCGGUAUUCCGGCGGGCAUGCCUGUUCGAGCGUCAUUUCAACCCUCAAGCCUCGGCUUGGUGUUGGGGCGCCCGGGCCCUCCGCGGCCCGGGGCCCCCAAGUUCAUCGGCGGGCUCGUCGGUACACUGAGCGCAGUAAAACGCGGUAAAACGCGAACCUCGUUCGGAUCGUCCCGGCGUGCUCCAGCCGCUAAACCCCCAAUUUUAGAGGUUGACCUGGUCCAGGAGAAUGCGACGCGUU
Molecule: unclassified non-coding RNA, 1019 nt
Filed under: Pyricularia oryzae
Lineage: Eukaryota; Fungi; Ascomycota; Sordariomycetes; Magnaporthales; Pyriculariaceae
Description: sequence contains ITS1, 5.8S rRNA gene, ITS2
Rfam family: 5.8S ribosomal RNA (bases 661-814)
Source: RNAcentral